Long non-coding RNA from Apodemus sylvaticus (European woodmouse), 2346 nucleotides. RefSeq lists it as uncharacterized. The transcript has 3 exons. The record is from RefSeq and is a predicted model, not a curated record. NCBI's taxonomy places the organism in Eukaryota, Metazoa, Chordata, Mammalia, Rodentia, Muridae.
UAGAAACACAGAUCAUCACACACUGUGUCACAAUCUCAUGGCGGUGGGGCUGGCCGGGCUGUAUGACGUGUGCUCUGGACCCAUUUUUACAAAGCUUGAAGGCCAGGCUGGAAGGCCGGAACUGACUCUAAGUAUCCAAGGCCCAGCCAUGUUAUAUAAAGGAACUCAGCACCAACAUCAUCAAAUUCACAGGAACAAGAAGGCAGAUGGCUGCCGGCUGGGGACAGGAGGAAACGGAAGGAGUGGAAUGAGCCAGCCUGUGUCCUGGGUAGCCCAAUUAAAUGGGCACGAAGCAGAGCUCUCGGAGAUGGGACCUAACUACAGCAUUCCUGCACGUGUCACCACCUGCUCAACAGAUUCCAAGCCCCACACGCCUGCUGUGUCAGCCCGGGAGUGUGUGCCCCACAGCCAUGCCAGGCUGUUCUGGAGAAGUAACACACCUCGAGUACAGAGCUGUGCAAGAAGGGCUGAGCACCAAGAUAGAGUUAGAGCUCUCACUGAGGAAGGCUACAACUCUGUCUUCUUAGGAAUGAGAACUUAAAGUCUACCUCCAAAGUCUACCCUGGACCCAAGCCUCUGCACUAAUGAUGCGGUAUGUGCCUCUCACAGCCCUUACUUCACAGUCAGUGUAAUACCAAGGAGACUGUGCCUCUGCCACCCCAUGAGAACAGCUGGGACGGCCUCAGCCACAACAACCAUGGUCCCACAAUGAGACAGAUGGAUCACGUUCAAAAGACAAAGGAACCGCACAGCCUGAAGCAGAGCCACCCACGCAGCCCACAGGUGCACCACAACAAAUACACAGCAAAGCUUCCUGAGGCUCUGCAGUUGACUGACACUGCAGUAUUAUAGCGGUAAUUAGCUGACAAUGUACAUCAAAUACUUAAGCCUGAGUUGAGAACAUGUCUUAGAAAAUGUAGCACUCGAUCUUUCCUCUCUAAUGUCCCAAUUCUCUGGAGACAAGCACGAGGAAAGCAGAGUACACAGAACAAUCUACGCAGGAAUAAUAGAGCACCUAAAGCCACGGGAAUCACCACCAUCUCCACCAAGAGCACCAUGGCCUUCCUACUCUUGGAAUCGCCAUACUAAACCAGUGUGACAGCCCAUGCCUGGCAUACUGGGGCUGGGGGCACUGAAGCCAAAGCAAGAGGUCAUGAGUUCAAGACCAUCCUGGAACUUCAGUGCUAAUAAUCUGCUUACGAAUAAGCAUAUAAAGUACAUAAAUCAUUAACAACAUAAAACAUGAGAGGAGAAAUUAGAGUGUAGGUUUUUUUGUGUAGAUGAAAAUUACAUUUCUGGGGCUUUAAAGAUUCAAAGCAUAGCACUUUAAAAUAUCAUCAAAUCACAAAGUAAGAAGCAAAAGCGUAAGAAUGGUGCAAGGGAUCAGGUAACAUCAAUGUGUCCUCUUAAAUACUUCCUUUAGAAAAGGAUGCUGAAUAAACAAGAAAACAGUGUAAGUACACACACCACCACCAAUAGCUUGUUUAGGGCACACACACACUGCUCUGUUUAGGGCACACACACACUCUCUGUUUAGGGCACACAUAUACUGCAAGCAUGGAGUAGGUAGAAAUUAUCAUUAUCAAUUACUCAUCCAACAGAAGGCAAAUAUCUAGAAUAUAUAAAGAACUAAAACACUAAACAUCAAGAGAACAAAUAAUCCAGUUAAAAAUGAGAACAGAACUAAACAGGGUUCCCAAAGGAUGAAACAAACAUGGCUGAGAAACACAAAGCUGGGCGCAGCAUCCUUAGCCAUCAGGGAAACAGGAAACAGAGCUACUCUGAGAUUCUAUCUUACCUCAGUUAAAAUGACCAACAUAACAAGCGACGGCUCAUGCUGGUGAGGAUGAGGAAAGGGGACAUAGUCAUGGCUGCUGGGCGUGCAAACUGCUCCAGCUGCUAUGGAAACCAGUGUGGAGGGUCCUCAGGAGGUGGGAAUCAGUCUAUCUCAAGAGCCAGCUAUCCCAUCCUUGGGCAUAUCCCCAAGGAUCUACAUGCUACUACAGAGACACUUGCUCAUCCAUGGCCAUGACUGCUAUUUAUAACAGCCAGAAAGUGGAACCAGCCUGAGUGCCUGUCAGCUGAAGAAUGGAUAAUGGAAAUGUACGCUUACACAUGGAAUAUUAUUCAGCUAUUAAAAAAAUUAAAAUAUAAAAUUUUCAGGUAAGUGGAAGGAGCUAAAAAAAAAAUAAUCACAAGUGGGAUAACACACACCCAACAAGACAAAUUCUGUACGUUUUCUUUGUGCUUAUUCUUACUCUUAUCAGAAUGAAAUCAUGUGAUGUCAUUCCCGUACCCAAACUGCCCAUGCUAAGUCUCAGAACCAGAAGCUUACCAAUAUCGCUG